Non-coding RNA from Stegodyphus mimosarum, 73 nucleotides. NCBI's taxonomy places the organism in Eukaryota, Metazoa, Arthropoda, Arachnida, Araneae, Eresidae. The record is from Rfam.
ACCUUCGUAGUGUAGUGGUCAGUACGCUCGACGCGUAACCGAGAGGUCCGUGGUUCGAUUCCUUGCGAAGGCU